GUUUUUUAUCUGCAGCCAAUCCUAGGGAAGGCAGGAGGACACUCCUCCAAUGGGAGCCCGGGAGCCGUCGGUAGCGGGGUAGGCCUGUGGCCCCGCUAGCGCUCCAGCCAGCGAGAGGGACGCGUCCAGUGUAUUCUGGAGAUCUCGCUGCCAGCCCCUUGUAUCUGUUUGCGUGGCAGCCGCGGCACUGACGGUGGCUACAGGUGUCGGGUGAGUGGUAAAGACCGGGCUUGGGGGAGUGGCGGCGGGAAUAGGCCUGGCCGGAGCGCGUGAGGGGUGGGGUCUGGGCGAGCUUUUACCUGGGCGGCCUCUCAACCCUAGGUCAGCGGGUUGCAGAGGAUCACGCGGGUAGCAAAGGGAGGCCGAGUGCUCCUGCGGCCCCAGAUGGCAACCAGCUUGAAGAAUUCCCUUUAGCUUUUCUUAUAAGACAGUUCUGGUGUGGAUGAACUCUCUCAGCUUUUGUUUUCCUGGGAAAGUCUUUAUCUCUCCCUCAUUUCUGAAGAACAGCUUUGCCAGGUGCUGUAAUCUGUCACCUGGUUUCCUUAGCGCUUGUGAAGUAUUUUUCUGCACGGAUAGUUCAAAUUGA
Molecule: long non-coding RNA, 586 nt
Filed under: Microcebus murinus (gray mouse lemur)
Lineage: Eukaryota; Metazoa; Chordata; Mammalia; Primates; Cheirogaleidae
Description: lncRNA (ENSMICG00000048166.1)
Source: RNAcentral